Long non-coding RNA from Gossypium raimondii (Peruvian cotton), 1523 nucleotides. RefSeq lists it as uncharacterized. The record is from RefSeq and is a predicted model, not a curated record. The transcript has 2 exons. Lineage: Eukaryota; Viridiplantae; Streptophyta; Magnoliopsida; Malvales; Malvaceae.
UGCGUUCUUCUGAAAACUUGAGUUUCCAAAAAUUUAAAUAACUUUAUUACUCUGGAAUUAAAACUAAGUUUUUUUUUUUGCGUAAGUUAAUCAACAAUGUUUUUACGAGCGUUUAACCUCCACAAUCCAACCAUAACAUCUAAGCCAGGUUUGGGGUAUUACAACUCCCAUUAUCAUCAUGCCAUAUAAACAUAUGAGAUACCAAGAGCAAAUCAACAUAACUCAUAACAAAUGUUAUCCGAUACACCACCAGUAAGAACAUAGCAACAAAAUCAUAAAAUCCAACGACAAGCAUAAACCAACAAGCUCUUUUUAAAAGUAACAAUAUCAGUAACAUAAAAAAACACCAACAAAAGUCAGCAAUAGCAAGCAAACCAUUAACUUAUCUCCCACUUUUUGUCGAAAGGCCGAAAGACUCCCAUUGUCAUUUCUAGUUGUACUAUUUUGUUUUAGUUUCUGUUCGAACAAGAGUUUGAACAUCCAUGUUUGUUUCAGUUCAGCUUCUUCUUCCAAAAAAGUAUGGCCAAAUGAUUCUAUAAAUUGGUUGGAUGAUCUCAACGUUCAUUCUGUUUCUAUGACUUGGCUUUAUAAUGUAGAUCGUGGAUUGGCACACGUUUAGUGGGACGUAUAAGGGAACCUCCCUUCUUCUUUUACAACGGGUCUUCUUUGCAUUCUCAUAUUGUGCCUAUCUCAUAUCAAAACAUGGACAUUACAACCAUUCUCAGAAGGCUACUGCUAUUCUAGUAAGGAAAACAACAUCGACGAAAACUAAGAAGAGGCCCAAAUUAGAGCAAAGUACUUAAGAGACCGAAAGUAAUGAAUUCCCUCCUUUGGCAUAGCGUAUACCCGGAAAAGAGCCUGCCACAAAUGUCACUCACAGUUCUCCAGUUCCUACCUUACUCGGAAUUCCAACACCACCAAUGGAGCCCGCCCAAAAAGCUGAUUCUCCUAUUCACACCACUAAUCCUCUUCAAACAGAGAUUGUCAUAGAAAUAAUACCUCCAACACAACUAAUGGCUUCAUCCUAUAUUCCACCACACGAUGCUUCUUCUAGUGAAGUAGAAGGAAUAUUCCCUUGGCGUGAACUAUUAAAGUCGGGGCUAUCUUCUAUGUCACUAGGUUCCAUUUUUUAGUAGCAGAAUAAUUCGAUGCCACAUCAGUUAAAAGAGGCUCUUACUUCCUAUCUUUCCUUAAAUUCGGAUUUGUCUCCUCUUUCCCUCUUGAAAAAGGCUUCACAAACCUUAUUUGUAGAGCAUGAGCUUUGGAGUUGGGCCUUCAAAGACACCAGUGAUCGAUACAAUGCUAGAGUUGCGAGUUUGGUGAAGGUUGUGAAAAUUGACGAAAACUCUAUGGCUGAACUACGCCGAGAUCAUCAGGAAUCUAUCAGCUUGAGUGGAAGGCUUGAUGCCUAUGUCAUGGCUUUGAAGAGAAAAUAUAAGGACACAUAAAAUAAGUGUAAUUAGUCAGAAGAGGACAUCAAUCUGCUAAAAGAUAAAGAAUCCAUAUUGGAAGAAAAGAUCAAC